UGAGCGGGCCGGGCAGGGGCGAGCCGAGCCCCCGGCCCAUGAGCACCAUGCGCCUGCUGCUGCUCGCCGUGCUCGUCUCCUUCUCCUUCGCCCGCGCCGGCUGCGAGCCCAAGAUCGUCAACAUCGGCGCGGUGCUGAGCACCAGGAAGCACGAGCAGAUCUUCCGCGAGGCGGUGAGCCAGGCCAACAAGCGCCACGGCACGUGGAAGAUCCAGCUGAACGCCACCUCGGUCACCCACAAGCCCAACGCCAUCCAGAUGGCCCUGUCCGUCUGCGAGGACCUCAUCUCCAGCCAGGUCUAUGCAAUAUUAGUUAGUCACCCACCUGCUCCAAAUGAUCACCUAACACCAACACCUGUAUCAUACACAGCUGGCUUCUACAGGAUUCCUGUCAUUGGUCUGACAACACGCAUGUCUAUAUAUUCUGAUAAGAGCAUUCACCUGUCCUUCCUGCGCACUGUCCCGCCGUACUCUCACCAGUCCAACGUCUGGUUUGAGAUGAUGCGAGUGUACAACUGGAAUCACAUCAUACUAAUAGUCAGUGAUGACCAUGAGGGUCGCGCUGCACAGAAGAAGCUGGAGACGCUGCUGGAAGAGAAAGAAUCCAAGAGUAAAAAAAGGAACUAUGAAAACCUCGACCAACUUUCCUAUGACAACAAGCGAGGACCCAAGGCUGAGAAAGUUCUUCAGUUUGACCCGGGAACCAAAAACGUGACUUCACUGCUGCUUGAAGCGAAGGAGCUGGAGGCUCGGGUUAUCAUCCUCUCUGCAAGUGAGGAUGACGCCGCCACAGUGUACAGAUCGGCAGCCAUGCUCAAUAUGACGGGCUCAGGAUACGUGUGGCUGGUUGGGGAGAGAGAGAUAUCUGGCAAUGCCCUGCGAUACGCUCCUGACGGGGUGAUCGGUUUGCAGCUCAUUAAUGGGAAGAACGAGUCAGCUCACAUCAGCGAUGCUGUCGCAGUGGUAGCUCAGGCAGUGCAUGACUUAUUCGAGAAGGAGAAUAUCACAGACCCCCCAAGAGGCUGCGUUGGGAACACCAACAUUUGGAAGACUGGCCCUCUUUUCAAGAGAGUGUUGAUGUCGUGCAAGUACACUGAGGGCGUGACCGGGAGAGUGGAGUUCAAUGAAGACGGGGACCGGAAAUUCGCCAAUUACAGCAUCAUGAACCUGCAGAACCGGAAACUGGUCCAAAUUGGGGUUUACAAUGGCAGCCACGUCCUUCCCAAUGACCGGAAGAUCAUCUGGCCUGGGGGAGAGACAGAGAAACCUGCGGGCUAUCAGAUGUCAACCAAAUUGAAGAUUGUGACAAUUCACCAAGAGCCUUUUGUGUACGUGAAAGCAACACAAGCUGAUGGAACAUGUAAGGAAGAAAUUACCAUCAAUGGAGACCCCGUGAAAAAGGUCUUUUGCACUGGACCCAAUGAGACCAUCCCAGGCCGCCCCACUGUGGCGCUGUGCUGCUAUGGCUUCUGCAUCGACCUGCUGAUCAGACUUGCAGGGGUGAUGAAUUUCACCUACGAAGUUCACCUGGUUGCUGAUGGUAAAUUUGGCACACAGGAGCGGGUCAAUAACAGCAAUAAGAAGGAGUGGAACGGGAUGAUGGGGGAGCUCCUGAGCGGCCAGGCAGACAUGAUCGUGGCGCCCCUCACCAUCAACAACGAGCGUGCGCAGUACAUCGAAUUCUCCAAGCCCUUCAAGUACCAGGGGCUCACCAUCCUGGUGAAGAAGGAAAUCCCCCGCAGCACCCUCGAUUCAUUCAUGCAGCCUUUCCAGAGCACACUGUGGCUGCUGGUGGGACUCUCAGUGCAUGUGGUGGCUGUGAUGUUAUAUCUCUUAGACCGGUUCAGCCCCUUUGGCCGGUUCAAAGUUAACAGUGAGGAAGAGGAGGAAGAUGCACUGACCCUCUCCUCGGCCAUGUGGUUCUCUUGGGGAGUGCUGCUGAACUCUGGGAUCGGAGAAGGUGCUCCCCGGAGUUUCUCUGCUCGUAUCCUUGGCAUGGUGUGGGCUGGCUUUGCUAUGAUCAUUGUGGCUUCCUACACUGCCAACCUGGCUGCCUUCCUGGUGUUAGACAGACCUGAAGAGAGAAUCACAGGCAUUAACGACCCUAGGCUGCGGAACCCCUCCGAUAAAUUCAUCUACGCCACUGUGAAGCAGAGCUCAGUGGACAUUUACUUCCGGCGGCAGGUGGAGCUGAGCACCAUGUACCGGCACAUGGAGAAGCACAACUAUGAGAGCGCUGCCGAAGCCAUCCAGGCCGUCAGGGACAGCAAACUCCACGCCUUCAUCUGGGACUCAGCAGUGCUGGAGUUUGAAGCCUCCCAGAAGUGUGACCUGGUGACAACGGGGGAGCUUUUCUUCCGCUCUGGCUUUGGGAUUGGGAUGCGCAAAGACAGCCCCUGGAAGCAGAACGUCUCCCUGGCCAUCCUCAAAUCCCAUGAAAACGGCUUCAUGGAGGACUUGGACAAGACUUGGGUGAGGUAUCAGGAGUGUGAUUCCCGUAGCAAUGCCCCAGCAACACUCACCUUUGAAAAUAUGGCAGGUGUAUUUAUGCUGGUGGCUGGAGGUAUUGUUGCCGGGAUAUUUUUAAUAUUCAUAGAAAUAGCUUACAAAAGGCAUAAAGAUGCGCGGAGGAAGCAGAUGCAGCUGGCGUUUGCGGCCGUUAAUGUGUGGCGGAAAAACCUGCAGUCCUCUCUCUCUCUUGUGGCGCUAGGAUUCAGCUUCAGAAAAGGCCCAGAGCAUUUUUUUUUAGUGGAUAGAAAAAGUGGUAGAGCAGAACCUGACCCUAAAAAGAAAGCCACUUUUAGGUCCAUCACCUCCACCCUGGCCUCCAGCUUCAAGAGACGUAGGUCCUCCAAAGAUACGGAUAUGCAGCACAUGCCAACUGGUUCAGAGAACGCAGGGGAAGCCCCCCGGCACCUUGAGGAAGGGAUCAGAGACAGCAGACUGGAAGGAACCACAGCGCUAGUGUUACCCGUGCUGCACUCUCCAGGUGGAGAAGCUCUCAGCCUGCACUAAUGACCCCCCCCAUCACAUCACAUCACAUCCCCGAAACCCAGUACCGAUGAGCAGGCAGGAGGGUGUGAGCAGUAUCAUCCCACUGACAUCACUGGGCAGCUCAACCUCUCCGACCCCUCAGUCAGCACUGUGGUGUGACGUCCUCCAGCAGGAGCCAUCAGUCCCUAGUUUAAGACGGCCCAGCCCAGGACUUCCUUUCAAAGGGACACUGAUGGGUCCAUACUGGUGAGUCAAGAGGGAUGCAUCCUCCAUCAAUACGCAGUGACUUCAUUGUCUCUCUUCUGCCCUUCCUGGUCCCUCUGACAUGUAAUGCCCCAGAUUGCACUACAGAACUAGGGACCGUUCUGGAGCUGCACUGUACAGAGAUGAUCACUUCCGCAUCAUGCUGUGUUUUACUCAGUAUUGCCACUGGCUGCAGAUGAGCUGGAAUUAAGGCAAGAGGAGAGGGCUCUGAACGGCCCACGGCACCUGGCCAUCUCACAGAGCAGCGACAGGAAACGCAGGGAAGGAGUGGAUGUUGCAUCCUUUGCAGGGGGUGGAGGACAAUUUGCUGAGACCUUGUUUGUUCCUAAGCGCGUGUAUGGACUAUCAUAGCCUCUUCCACAUACUUCACAUGCCACAGGAGGACUGUGACAUGGUCUGGUAGCACUGGAGCUGUUGGUUCCUGUCCAUAGCUCAGCACACAAGGCACAUGUCUGCCUCUGUUCUGGUGUCAUCGUUUCAGGGAGCAGGUGCAGCCACACAGUCCGUUGAUGAAACAUGUUCCCUCUGGCUACAGUUGGGAAGGGCCUUUCUCCAGCUCUCUCCAUUUCCAGAUGAUGAUAAAGUCCAAAGCUCCCUAUUCACCCUCCCCUCCUGUCUGCACCAAGCCAGCCCCUGCCCUGCGCCCACAUUAGCCAUCUGUUUCUACAUGGCCAUUUGCUAUAUGAGUAACACUGGCAUCACCUCCCUCAGCUCCCCACUGCUGGCACCCCUCCAGCUGCUGUGACAGAGGUGGCUCGGAGAACUAUUGCUGGCUGCUUGGUGAGGUCCUGUCAGUGUGUUUUGAGCUCCCCUUGAGGCCGUCUGCACACAAGACAUUUGUACGGGCCAGGCCACGCUGAGCACUGCUGCAGAUGGAUGUCCAGCCCAGCAACGCCAUGUUUAGUAAUAAGGCAAAGCAGCGUUGGUACCAGGCACUGGCGCGCACUGAGAUCACUGCUCUGGAUAGUUUGGUCCAUCCCUUGUCUUUGCCAUCCACCUCGCUGCCCCAGCAUCUCCAUAGCUCACGCUGCAGCAGUGUAUUUCAUAGCAAACGGCCAAAGGCGUUCUGCCCCGUCCCCUCACAGGGGCUAGACUGACGUUCCUGCUGAAUGCCCUCAAAUGCUUCUAGUGUCACAGUGUGGCCUCCCAGCACCACUAACGAGGGCUGUUGUGAGCAGUGUGCACUGGGCAUGAAUAUGGUGCUACACACACACUGGCAGGAUCCUUACCCACCGGACCUGCACUCACCAUUGAACCAGAAAAGUGAGUUCACUAGUGCCACCACCAGGCCUCCUCUGAACACGCCACAAGAGCUCGCUGUCAGCCUGGCACCACUGGCAUCUCUACAGUCAGCGCCUAGGCACGGCCCACCCAUCAUGGUGACCGAGUCACCACCACACAUUCACCGGAUGAGCCGCAGAAGAGGGGGCACUUGGAGGGACACUUGCCCAUUCCCAAGGUUCUUGUCCAUGCUCUGCCUGAUUCAUCCUGCAUCAUACGUCUCCAGGCGCCGUUGUCUCCUGUCAGGCAGCGGGGAAUGAACGUGGCCAGCAGUGCCGGCCUGUAACCCCACUGCACUGUCUAGUCAAUUCUCUAGCAACCGCACAGCAGGCAGGCGCUACCCCGUGCACAGUGUGUCGUGUGCGUGCAAAGCUGUUGGUAUAUUUAACUCUUGCAUGUGAAAUGUAGAUACAUUUUUUAAAAGCAAACCUGUCUGCAGUGUGACACUCCGACGCAGCCCCACCUGGGUGCGCUGGCCGGUCUGUGCCAUGGCGUGCCGUAGCAGCAGCUACCUUCCCCUCCAGUACUUUAACCCCCAGGGCUGGUGGCCACUGCAGAAGGAAUUGGACUGUACAGUAUUUCCAGACUCAGUGGGCCAGAUCCUCAGCUGGCAUAAAUCAGCGUACCUCCGUUGACUGCAGUGGCACUAUUGAUUCCAGUCAGGCGAGGCCAGUUUACACCAGCUGAGAAUUUGGCCCACGCUAUGUAUACUUCGGUGUCAUGUAACUUAAAACACCCUUUUGCCAGAGUUGGGUAAAGUCCAAACUGGACCAUAAAGAGGUUUAUUCCACUG
This is an RNA transcript of Gopherus flavomarginatus (Mexican gopher tortoise), 5331 nucleotides long. It is a transcript of the gene named glutamate ionotropic receptor NMDA type subunit 1, with no coding region annotated. The transcript has 23 exons. The record is from RefSeq and is a predicted model, not a curated record. NCBI's taxonomy places the organism in Eukaryota, Metazoa, Chordata, Testudines, Testudinidae.